This is a non-coding RNA of Peromyscus maniculatus bairdii (prairie deer mouse), 840 nucleotides long. The record is from RefSeq and is a predicted model, not a curated record. Lineage: Eukaryota; Metazoa; Chordata; Mammalia; Rodentia; Cricetidae.
GAGGCGCAGAGCACCCGCAGAGCACCCGCAGGGCUGGCCUAGCGAACUGGAAAAACCCGGGUAUCCGUUCUGCUUCCAGCCUCUCAAGUAUCUGGACUGCAGUAGUCUGUCCUAUGGAGAGAUGUCCGUUGAAUGAACCACCUAUCUACCAUCAGAAGCAACAGCUAUUUUAAGUGGCAAUUAAGGCUUGUCUGCCUCUCAAGUGCUUCUGAGAAGGCAGACAUCAGACUCAGAGCUGGAAAAUAUGCAGGUAGAGUGUGGGGCAUUUUUAUUCCUUUCUCCUGUGCCCUCUCACACAGCUCAACUGGUCUCUGAGAGUAGCUUAUUGUGAAUAAAUAAAGACACCAUGGUGAAGGGAGAAGAGUCCUGGGUCUUCCCACUGCCAGUCCAGAGCCUCACAGUAUUGCUACAUUGGUAUAGUUUAAACAUGUUCCCCAAAAUGCAUCUGCUAGAGCUAAAUCCUGUGUGUUGAUGGUGUUGGGAGGUGGUGUCUUUGGGAGAUAAUAAGAACUAGACCAGGUUACAAGGAUGGGACCCCCAUGAUGGCAUUCGUGUUAUCACAGGAAGGAGAAGAGAUACUCUACCUAGCAACAGUCUCAGCCUGGCUGUGUGAUACCCUCUACCAUGGUAGAAUACGUGAGUAAAUGAGGAAGCUCUGACCAGAUGCAGAUCAGAAGCCAGCCCCAUACCCUUGGAAUGCCCAUCAAGUAACCUCCUGUUCUUUAUAAAGUCCACAGUCUACGUGUUUGUUUUAUGCCAACACAGAACAGACUAAAACCCCUAUAAAGAACGCUGGUUACACCAUCCAGUCCACUCCAGCACCCUGAGAGGAGUCGCCUU